Molecule: ribosomal RNA, 492 nt
Filed under: uncultured bacterium
Lineage: Bacteria
Description: partial 16S ribosomal RNA
Rfam family: Bacterial small subunit ribosomal RNA
Source: RNAcentral
AGUGAACGCUGGCGGUAGGCCUAACACAUGCAAGUCGAACGGCAGCACAGUAAGAGCUUGCUCUUACGGGUGGCGAGUGGCGGACGGGUGAGGAAUACAUCGGAAUCUACUUUUUCGUGGGGGAUAACGUAGGGAAACUUACGCUAAUACCGCAUACGACCUACGGGUGAAAGCAGGGGAUCUUCGGACCUUGCGCGAUUGAUUGAGCCGAUGUCGGAUUAGCUAGUUGGCGGGGUAAAGGCCCACCAAGGCGACGAUCCGUAGCUGGUCUGAGAGGAUGAUCAGCCACACUGGAACUGAGACACGGUCCAGACUCCUACGGGAGGCAGCAGUGGGGAAUAUUGGACAAUGGGCGCAAGCCUGAUCCAGCCAUACCGCGUGAGUGAAGAAGGCCUUCGGGUUGUAAAGCCCUUUUGUUGGGAAAGAAAAGCAGCAGGUUAAUACCCCGCUGUUCUGACGGUACCCAAAGAAUAAGCACCGGCUAACUUCGUG